CUAAGAAACAUUAUUGUUUGAUUAAAAAUUACUUUCAUUUGACCUAAAAAAAAAGCAUGUCAUAAAAAUUACUGUUAAGAAAAUGCAAUAAUAAAUUUAUCCUUUUCAAAUUAUUCAUAAAUUUAAGCAAAUUUUUUUACACUCUUUGAAUUUUUUGAUUUGUUAGACUAUUUAAAAACUGCAUGACAUUUAAAAAUGUUCACUUAUUAUGAAGCCUUUUAAUACCUUGUAAAAAUUAUUGAAGCAUUUCUAUCCAAUGAUAGAUAUAUACAAAAGUUCAAAUUUUAUCUAAUGUCAUGCUUUUUAUUUAUAACACAUGUGCAAAAUAAUUUAGAUACCAUGCACAAUGAAACAUAUUAUUGAAGUACAAUUUAGUUUUUAAAUUUCAAUUGAGAUCUGAUUCUCUACAAGCAUAAUUAAUAAUCUGAAGUUUAUUAUUACUUGUUAAAUGUUUCUUCUUUUCAAAGUAGUAUGAUUCUUAAAAUUCAAUACAUAAAAAUUUUAAAAUAAAACUGUCAUAAGUAAUUUGCAUGUAUGUAUGUAAAUUUGUGUGUUUUAGUGUACCAAAUUUGAUAUAUUUUCAAAUUCUUUGAUAAAAAAAUAACAGAAAUUGCACUAAAUCUAUUAUAUGUAUGGAUACAUGGUUGAAAGUUUCUUUGAAAAUUAUAUGUUGUAAUGAUAUUUAAAGGCAACUUUAUAAAAGUAUUAACAAUAUGUUGUAUGAUUAUUAUAAUUCAUGUUUAAUUUUUUUUAUUGAAAAUUUAACUGUAAAAAUAAAAUACUUAAAAUAACUUACUUACAAGUAAAACAUGACUUAAAAUU
RNAcentral lists this long non-coding RNA (822 nucleotides) under Physcomitrium patens. RNAcentral's name for it is "long non-coding RNA (PPAT_LNC000688)". The record is from RNAcentral. Lineage: Eukaryota; Viridiplantae; Streptophyta; Bryopsida; Funariales; Funariaceae.